Long non-coding RNA from Macaca mulatta (Rhesus monkey), 1805 nucleotides. Lineage: Eukaryota; Metazoa; Chordata; Mammalia; Primates; Cercopithecidae. The record is from Ensembl.
UUUUUUUUUUUUUUUUUUUUUUUAAACAAUGGGCCUAAAGGACCAAUACAUCAAAAAUAAAACCAGUAAAACAUUAAAACAGUAGGGAAAGUCCACAACCCCAAACAUUUUGAGAUCAAUAAAAGCAACAAACCUCUAUCUUGCCAGACUGCUAAGGAAAAAGAGAAGAUACAAAUUACUAACUUCAGAAGUGAGUAAUGUGGCAUUAUUACAGAUUCUACAGAUGCUACAAAAGGUAAUAUUAUAGAACUUAUGUUAAUAAAGAUGACAACUUAAACUGACAAAUUUCUUGAAAAAUGAAAAUUACCAAAACUCAAUCAAGAAUAGAUAACCUGCAUUACUUUAUACCUAUAAGAAAGAUAGUUAUAGUUGAAAACCUUUCUACAAGGAGAACUCCAGGUCCAGCCAUCUAGGCUGGUGAAUUCUACCAAACAUUUUAGAAAGAAAUGAUAAUAUUUUACACAACUCUACCUUCCCCAAAUAAAAAGUAUAUCCCAACGAAUUCUAUAUUGUUACCAUUACACUGAACCACAAUUCAACAAUAAUAUUAAAAAAAAAACUCACUCAUAAGCAUGGAUAUAAAAGUUCACUCAAUGUUUAUGUCCUCCAACAGGUGAAUGAAUAACAUGUGCUACAUGCACACAAUGGAUUACUACUAGUUCUAAAAGGAAAUGAGCGAUCAAGUCAUUAAAAGAAAUGAAGGAAAUUUAAAUGUAUAUUACCAAGUGAAAGACGCUAAUCUGAAAAGGCUACUUACUGUAUGAUUUUAAGUACAUGACAUUCUGGAAAGGCAAAACUAUGAAUACAGUAAAAUGGAUCGGUGGCUGCCAAAGGGUUGGUGAGGGCAGGAAAAGGGCACAUAGGCAGGACACAGAAGAUUUUUUAAAGCAGUGGAAAUCUAUGGUACUACAAUGAUGGAUACAUGUUAUUAUACCUUUACCCAGACUGAUAAAAUAUGCAUCACCAAGAGUAAUUCCUAGUGUAAACUAUGGGCUUUGCAUGAUUAUGAUGUGUCAAUAUAGGUCCCUUCAUUGUAAUAACUGUACCACCCUGGUGAGAGAUAUUGAUAAUGAAGGAGACUAUGCUCGUGUGGGGGCAGGGUAUAUGGAAAAUCUCUGUAUCUUUUCCUCCAUUUUGCUGUAAAUAUAAAACUGCACUAAAAAUGUCUAAACAAUAAACUCUAAUUGAAACUUUAGCAAACUGAAUUCAAUGACAUAAUAAAAUGUUCAUACAUCAUAAACAAAGAGUUCAUCCCAGGAAUGGAGAUGAACUUCAAACAUCACUUUUCCCCAGCCUAAUCAACAAAGUAAAAGAGAAGAUCCAUAGGAUCACUUCAACAGUUAAAGGCAUUUCAUACAAUUCAACAUUGAUUUCUGACUUUUUAAAAAAUAAAACUCUCGCCAACUGAACAGACUAGGCGAGACGAAGAAAGAUCUAUAUGAUAUCUAACAUGCAUCAUGGUGAAAAGCAGAAUGUUUUUCCAUAAGAUGGACAGUACAGAAAUGUCUACUUUCACGACUUCUAUGGAGCAUUGUUCUGAAGAUUCUAGCUAGUACAUUCAGGCAAGAGAAGUAAGUAAAAGGUAUCCAGAUUGGAAGGAAGAAGCAAAACUGUCUUUAUUCACAACAUGAUCACAAAAUAAGGUGAGUAAAUUCCAAACUGUGUGUCAGCUUCUUGUUUUUUCUAAAUAAAGGUUUAGUGGAAUAUAGCUAUAUUUAUUAAUUUUUGGAUUGUUUUGUCUAUGGUUGCAUACAUACUACAAUAGCAGAGUUGCAACACAGACUGUUUGCCAUAAGUCUGAAAAU